CAUGCAAGUCGAGCGCGGGAAGCGAGCGGAUCCCCUUCGGGGGUGAAGCUCGUGGAACGAGCGGCGGACGGGUGAGUAACACGUGGGCAACCUGCCUGUAAGACCAGGAAUAACCCCGGGAAACCGGGGCUAAUGCCGGGUAAUACUCUUCUUCGCAUGAAGAAGAGUUGAAAGAUGGCUUCUCGCUAUCACUUACAGAUGGGCCCGCGGCGCAUUAGCUAGUUGGUGAGGUAACGGCUCACCAAGGCGACGAUGCGUAGCCGACCUGAGAGGGUGAUCGGCCACACUGGGACUGAGACACGGCCCAGACUCCUACGGGAGGCAGCAGUAGGGAAUCUUCCGCAAUGGACGAAAGUCUGACGGAGCAACGCCGCGUGAACGAUGAAGGUCUUCGGAUCGUAAAGUUCUGUUGUUAGGGAAGAACAAGUACCGUGCGAAUAGAGCGGUACCUUGACGGUACCUAACGAGGAAGCCCCGGCUAACUACGUGCCAGCAGCCGCGGUAAUACGUAGGGGGCAAGCGUUGUCCGGAAUUAUUGGGCGUAAAGCGCGCGCAGGCGGUUCCUUAAGUCUGAUGUGAAAGCCCACGGCUCAACCGUGGAGGGUCAUUGGAAACUGGGGAACUUGAGGACAGAAGAGGAGAGUGGAAUUCCACGUGUAGCGGUGAAAUGCGUAGAUAUGUGGAGGAACACCAGUGGCGAARGCGACUCUCUGGUCUGUCUCUGACGCUGAGGUGCGAAAGCGUGGGUAGCAAACAGGAUUAGAUACCCUGGUAGUCCACGCCGUAAACGAUGAGUGCUAGGURUUAGGGRGCUUCCACCCCUUAGUGCUGAAGUAACGCAUAAGCACUCCGCUGGAGUACGGCCGCAAGGGCUGAAACUCAAAGGAAUUGACGGGGGGCCCGCACAAGCGGUGGAGCAUGUGGUUUAAAUUCGAAGCAACGCGAAGAACCUUACCAGGUCUUGACAUCCUUGGACCUCCCUAGAGAUAGGGAUUUCCCUUCGGGGACCAAGUGACAGGUGGUGCAUGGUUGUCGUCAGCUCGUGUCGUGAGAUGUUGGGGUUAAGUCCCGCAACGAGCGCAACCCCUAAUCUUAGUUGCCAGCAUUCAGUUGGGGCACUCUAAGGGUGACUGCCGGGUGACAAAACCGGAGGAAGGGCGGGGAUGACGUCAAAUCAUCAUGCCCCUUAUGACCUGGGGCUACCCCACGUGCUACAAUGGAUGGUACAAAGGGCAGCGAAGCCGCGAGGUGUAGCAAAUCCCAAUAAAACCAUUUCUCAGUUCGGAUUGCAGGCUGCAACUCGCCUGCAUGAAGCCCGGAAUCGCUAGUAAUCGCGGAUCAGCAUGCCGCGUG
This 1353-nucleotide ribosomal RNA is filed under the name Halobacillus sp. JS19. RNAcentral describes it as "bacterial SSU rRNA". It matches the Rfam family "Bacterial small subunit ribosomal RNA", at positions 54 to 1364 of the family's 1533-position model. The record is from RNAcentral. Lineage: Bacteria; Bacillati; Bacillota; Bacilli; Caryophanales; Bacillaceae.